UACGAAGGGGGCUAGCGUUGCUCGGAAUCACUGGGCGUAAAGCGCACGUAGGCGGAUCGUUAAGCCAGGGGUGAAAUCCUGGAGCUCAACUCCAGAACUGCCUUUGAUACUGGCGACCUUGAGUUCGGGAGAGGUGAGUGGAACUGCGAGUGUAGAGGUGAAAUUCGUAGAUAUUGGGAGGAACACCAGUGGCGAAGGCGGCUACCUGGACCGGUUCUGACGCUGAGGCGCGAAAGCGUGGGUAGCAAACAGG
Molecule: ribosomal RNA, 253 nt
Filed under: uncultured bacterium
Lineage: Bacteria
Description: partial 16S ribosomal RNA
Rfam family: Bacterial small subunit ribosomal RNA
Source: RNAcentral